GCCGUAGCAAUACGGUCGUACAGUGGCGGACGGGUGAGGAAGACGUGGGUAACCUACCCUCGAGUGGGGAAUAACCCGCCGAAAGGCGGGCUAAUACCGCGUACGCUUCUGUUCCUUCGGGGACGGAAGGAAAGCUGUGCCGUGGGCAUGGCGCUCAAGGAUGGGCUCACGCCCUAUCAGCUUGUUGGUAGGGUAACGGCCUACCAAGGCAACGACGGGUAGCUGGUCUGAGAGGACGAUCAGCCACACUGGCACUGCGACACGGGCCAGACUCCUACGGGAGGCAGCAGUGAGGAAUAUUGCGCAAUGGGCGAAAGCCUGACGCAGCGACGCCGCAUGGGGGAUGAAGGUCUUCGGAUUGUAAACCCCUUUCGGGAGGGAAGAUGGAACGGGCAACCGUUCGGACGGUACCUCCAGAAGAAGCCACGGCUAACUUCGUGCCAGCAGCCGCGGUAAUACGAAGGUGGCAAGCGUUGUUCGGA
This 482-nucleotide ribosomal RNA is filed under the name uncultured bacterium. RNAcentral's name for it is "bacterial SSU rRNA". It matches the Rfam family "Bacterial small subunit ribosomal RNA", at positions 73 to 549 of the family's 1533-position model. The record is from RNAcentral.